CCUACGGGGGGCUGCAGUGAGGAAUAUUGGUCAAUGGACGAGAGUCUGAACCAGCCAAGUAGCGUGAAGGAUGACUGCCCUAUGGGUUGUAAACUUCUUUUAUAAAGGAAUAAAACGAGGCACGUGUGCCUUUUGCAUGUACUUUAUGAAUAAGGAUCGGCUAACUCCGUGCCAGCAGCCGCGGUAAUACGGAGGAUCCGAGCGUUAUCCGGAUUUAUUGGGUUUAAAGGGAGCGUAGAUGGGUUGUUAAGUCAGUUGUGAAAGUUUGCGGCUCAACCGUAAAAUUGCAAUUGAUACUGGCAGUCUUGAGUACAGUUGAGGUAGGCGGAAUUCGUGGUGUAGCGGUGAAAUGCUUAGAUAUCACGAAGAACCCAGAUUGCGAAGGCGGCUUGCUGGACGAUAACUGACGUUGAGGCUCGAAAGCGUGGGGAGCAAACAGGAUUAGAUACCAGUAGUC
RNAcentral lists this ribosomal RNA (457 nucleotides) under uncultured bacterium. RNAcentral describes it as "partial 16S ribosomal RNA". It matches the Rfam family "Bacterial small subunit ribosomal RNA", at positions 338 to 795 of the family's 1533-position model. The record is from RNAcentral.